Molecule: ribosomal RNA, 253 nt
Filed under: uncultured bacterium
Lineage: Bacteria
Description: partial 16S ribosomal RNA
Rfam family: Bacterial small subunit ribosomal RNA
Source: RNAcentral
UACGUAGGGUGCGAGCGUUAAUCGGAAUUACUGGGCGUAAAGCGUGCGCAGGCGGUGAUGUAAGACCGAUGUGAAAUCCCCGGGCUUAACCUGGGAACUGCAUUGGUGACUGCAUUGCUCGAGUAUGGCAGAGGGGGGUGGAAUUCCACGUGUAGCAGUGAAAUGCGUAGAGAUGUGGAGGAACACCGAUGGCGAAGGCAGCCCCCUGGGCCAAUACUGACGCUCAUGCACGAAAGCGUGGGGAGCAAACAGG